This 606-nucleotide ribosomal RNA is filed under the name Clostridioides difficile. RNAcentral's name for it is "bacterial SSU rRNA". It matches the Rfam family "Bacterial small subunit ribosomal RNA", at positions 1 to 635 of the family's 1533-position model. Lineage: Bacteria; Bacillati; Bacillota; Clostridia; Peptostreptococcales; Peptostreptococcaceae. The record is from RNAcentral.
UUAUUUGAGAGUUUGAUCCUGGCUCAGGAUGAACGCUGGCGGCGUGCCUAACACAUGCAAGUUGAGCGAUUUACUUCGGUAAAGAGCGGCGGACGGGUGAGUAACGCGUGGGUAACCUACCCUGUACACACGGAUAACAUACCGAAAGGUAUGCUAAUACGGGAUAAUAUAUUUGAGAGGCAUCUCUUGAAUAUCAAAGGUGAGCCAGUACAGGAUGGACCCGCGUCUGAUUAGCUAGUUGGUAAGGUAACGGCUUACCAAGGCGACGAUCAGUAGCCGACCUGAGAGGGUGAUCGGCCACAUUGGAACUGAGACACGGUCCAAACUCCUACGGGAGGCAGCAGUGGGGAAUAUUGCACAAUGGGCGAAAGCCUGAUGCAGCAACGCCGCGUGAGUGAUGAAGGCCUUCGGGUCGUAAAACUCUGUCCUCAAGGAAGAUAAUGACGGUACUUGAGGAGGAAGCCCCGGCUAACUACGUGCCAGCAGCCGCGGUAAUACGUAGGGGGCUAGCGUUAUCCGGAUUUACUGGGCGUAAAGGGUGCGUAGGCGGUCUUUCAAGUCAGGAGUGAAAGGCUACGGCUCAACCGUAGUAAGCUCUUGAAACUG